UAACGCGUGAGGAACCUGCCUCAAAGAGGGGGACAACAGUUGGAAACGACUGCUAAUACCGCAUAAGCCCACAGCUCGGCAUCGAGCAGAGGGAAAAGGAGUGAUCCGCUUUGAGAUGGCCUCGCGUCCGAUUAGCUAGUUGGUGAGGUGAUGGCCCACCAAGGCGACGAUCGGUAGCCGGACUGGGAGGUUGAACGGCCACAUUGGGACUGAGACACGGCCCAG
RNAcentral lists this ribosomal RNA (225 nucleotides) under uncultured bacterium. RNAcentral's name for it is "partial 16S ribosomal RNA". It matches the Rfam family "Bacterial small subunit ribosomal RNA", at positions 111 to 334 of the family's 1533-position model. The record is from RNAcentral.